This 1641-nucleotide ribosomal RNA is filed under the name Triticum aestivum (bread wheat). Its description in RNAcentral is "SSU rRNA". It matches the Rfam family "Eukaryotic small subunit ribosomal RNA". Lineage: Eukaryota; Viridiplantae; Streptophyta; Magnoliopsida; Poales; Poaceae. The record is from RNAcentral.
AAUACGUGCAACAAACCCCGACUUCUGGGAGGGCUGCAUUUAUUAGAUAAAAGGCUGACGCGGGCUUUGCCCCCUUAUCCGAUGGUUCAGGAUAACUCGACGGAUCGCAUGGCCCUCGUGCCGGUGAUGCAUCAUUCAAAUUUCUGACCGAUCAACUUUCGAUGGUAGGAUAGGGGCCUACCAUGGUGGUGAUGGGUGACGGAGAAUUAGGGUUCGAUUCCGGAGAGGGAGCCUGAGAAACGGCUACCACAUCCAAGGAAGGCAGCAAGCGCGCAAAUUACCCAAUCUUGACAUGGGGAGGUAGUGGCAAUAAAUAACAAUACCGGAUGCAUUAGUGUCUGGUAAUUGGAAUGAGUACAAUCUAAAUCCCUUAAUGAGGAUCCAUUGGAGGGCAAGUCUAGUGCCAGCAGCCACGGUAAUUCCAGCUCCAAUAGCGUAUAUUUAAGUUGUUGCAGUUAAAAAGAUCGUAGUUGGACUUCGGGCCGGGUCGGCCGGUCCGCUUCACGACGAGCACGACCUACUCGACCCUUCAGCCGGCGAUGCGCUCCUAGCCUUAUUUGGCCGGGUCGUGCCUCCAGCAUCAUUAAUUUGAAGAAAUUAGAGUGCUCAAAGCAAGCCAUCGCUCUGGAUACAUUAUCAUGGGAUAACAUCAUAGGAUUCCGGUCCUAUUAUGUUGGCCUUCGGGAUCAGAGUAAUGAUUAAUAGGGACAGUCUCGGGCAUUCGUAUUUCAUAGUCAGAGGUGAAAUUCUUGGAUUUAUGAAAGACGAACAACUGCGAAAGCAUUUGCCAAGGAUGUUUUCAUUAAUCAACAAUGAAAGUUGGGGGCUCGAAGAGGAUCAUAUACCGUCCUAGUCUCAACCAUAAACGAUGCCGACCAGGAAUCGACGGAUUUUACGUAUAGGACUCCGCUGGCACCUUAUGAGAAAUCAAAGUCUUUGGGCUCGGGGGGGGGGGGGUAUGGUCGCAAGGCUGAAACUUAAAUGAAUUGACGGAAGUGCAGCACCACGCGUGGAGCCGGUGGCUUAAUUUGACUCAACACGGGGAAACUUAGCAGGUCCAGACAUAGCAAGAAUUGACAGACUGAGAGCUCUUUCUUGAUUCUGUGGGUGGUGGUGCAUGGCCGUUCUUAGUUGGUGGAGCGAUUUGUCUAGUUAAUUCCGUUAACGAACAAGACCUUAGCCUGCUAACUAGCUAUGCGGAGCCAUCCCUCCGCAGCUAGGUUCUUAGAGGGACUAUCACCGUUUAGGCGACGGAAGUUUGAGGCACUAACAGGUAUGUGAUGCCCUUAGAUGUUAUAGGCCGCACGCGCGCUACACUGAUGUAUUCAACGAGUAUAUAGCCUUGUCCGACAGGCCCGCAUAAUAUUGGGAAAUUUUAUCGUGAUGGGGAUAGAUCAUUGCAAUUGUUGGUCUUCAACGAGGAAUGCCUACUAAGCGUGAGUCAUCAGCUCAUGUUAACUACGUCCCUGCCCUUUGUACACACCGCUCGUCGCUCCUACCGAUUGAAUGGUCUAGUGAAGUGUUCAGAUUGCAGCGAUUGGGGCGGUUCGCCGCACCCGACGUCAGGAGAAGUCCAUUGAACCUUAUCAUUUAGAGGAAGGAGAAGUCGUAAGAAGGUUUUCAUAGGUAAACCUGCGGAAG